This 666-nucleotide long non-coding RNA is filed under the name Homo sapiens (human). RNAcentral describes it as "HSALNT0086154". The record is from RNAcentral. Lineage: Eukaryota; Metazoa; Chordata; Mammalia; Primates; Hominidae.
ACAGUCUCAUUCAGUUGCUGCAUCAAGCUUGAAGUCCACAAAUUACAGAAAAGGGGUCCCAAUCCAGACCCCAAGAGAGGGCUCUUGGAUCUCACGCAAGAAAGAAUUCAGGGAAGUUUGAUGGCAUGUCUUUAUAUCAUGGCCAUGGGCAGGACUUGGAAAAAGUUUUACCACUAAAGCAUCUAUGAACUCAAGAAAGAAAACACUGGCUAUGUACAAUGAUGACUGUGAUCUUUUAAAUUUAUCUCAAAUAGCGAACCUACCAGUCAUAGGCAGUUCCCAAAUAUCUACAUGAGAACAGCACAGCAACAACAAUCUACUGGGAAAUCAACCUGGAGAUGUGUUUACACGGCUCAACUAUGUAAGAGUGAAUAAAGAUCAUUUGUCCAUAGCAAAGAACACCGGAGAGGAAGUCGCUCCUGUAGAUCACGGGAGUCGCAAUCUUAUUGGAGGAAGUGAUUUAACCAACUCACAGUUAAGUGUCCUUCAUGAUGAUCUGGGAAAUGAAUGAAUAAGUACUCUGUGGCUACCAGUUGCAUUAUGGAGUCACCUAGGAAUUCCAUUCUCUGAUUGUGGCCUCUGGAAAAAGAAACAUCAAAGUAAAGAAAUCAAUAACCAUUUAUGGAUUUCCAAAAAAACACCCAGAAUUUUAAAAAAGGAAUGACU